GCGGGUGUAGUUCAAUGGAGAACGGGGCUUCCCAAGCUUUAAACGGGUUCGAUUCCCAUCACCCGCUCCA
This 70-nucleotide transfer RNA is filed under the name Gammaproteobacteria bacterium. RNAcentral describes it as "tRNA-Gly". It matches the Rfam family "tRNA". From Rfam's summary of the family: Transfer RNA (tRNA) molecules are approximately 80 nucleotides in length. Their secondary structure includes four short double-helical elements and three loops (D, anti-codon, and T loops). Further hydrogen bonds mediate the characteristic L-shaped molecular structure. tRNAs have two regions of fundamental functional importance: the anti-codon, which is responsible for specific mRNA codon recognition, and the 3' end, to which the tRNAs corresponding amino acid is attached (by aminoacyl-tRNA synthetases). tRNAs cope with the degeneracy of the genetic code in two manners: having more than one tRNA (with a specific anti-codon) for a particular amino acid; and 'wobble' base-pairing, i.e. permitting non-standard base-pairing at the 3rd anti-codon position. Lineage: Bacteria; Pseudomonadati; Pseudomonadota; Gammaproteobacteria. The record is from RNAcentral.